Sinocyclocheilus grahami is the source of this 425-nucleotide long non-coding RNA. The record is from Ensembl. Lineage: Eukaryota; Metazoa; Chordata; Actinopteri; Cypriniformes; Cyprinidae.
UUAAAAUCAGCUGACUCUAAUGAAAGUGAAAGAAAAGAAAAGAAAAGAAAAGAAAAGAAGCAGCUCCGUUGAGAGGCUUUAAACAACGGCCGCUUAUUUUGUGCCUCCAGAAAUAAUUUCCAUGAGAAGAAGGAGAAUCAGGACACUGACUUUAAAAUGAGUUCUCCAUCUGCUGGAUCAAGCUGUGAUCAACCCAUAAAGAAUCUGAGCUCUGCCAUUAGUGAUGCAUCAGUGACCUCUGACCCCAGCAGGUCGAAGAGGCUGAGAUCAGAGUCUCCAGAACCCAGUGGUGUGUCUGUGAAGAGUAAUGCAUCUAUGAUGAAUCCCCCUGCACUCCGUGAGGCAACAGUGACCUCUGACCCCAGGUAUGACACUAGAUGUUUUUUGCAUUUGUCAGAUUAUUUAUACAAACGGCUUAUUGUGCA